AUGCAGCAGGGAGGCCAGAAGACCAGAAACACACUGGAGGGACUAUAUUUAUCUCAGUGCUCCAGGAGCACCCAGGAUAAGCCAGAGAAGGAUGGGCUGUACUUUUCCAAACAUACCACCUCAACUGAAGACUGUGGAUCAUUCCAACAGAUGAGCUUUUGGGAACGGUUGAUCCACACACUUCCACGCUACGGCAGAGCUACAGACAGAAUGCAGAGAGAUGAGGGGAAAAUAUCUGAACAUUUACCAAUACUCACAUUUAGAUUCGUAGAGGCUUUAAGUGAAAAGCACAAGUUAAACUGAUCAGGUGAAAAACUGAAGUUAAAUUGACUCACUAUUUUCCAUAGACAAAGGUUCAACACUGGAUUACAAAGCUCUGAUUGGUAACAGAUAUUACAAUAUGUAUUUGUGCACAUGGUAUUGUGUCUUGGUUGAGUUACAUCAAUAAAUGUCAUCAAAAACUACUCAGACUAUGAGUUACUUUUCAACCGCUGAUGUUUAACGCUUUAACAAUAGCAGGCAUUCACUCCUGUCCAAAUCUGUGCCUGUCGCAGCAUCUGUUUUUUUUAAUGAUUUUCAUUGACCCGCAAAGUGCUGAAAAAGAACAGAUGCUGGUCGUCACAGGUCACAAGCCGGCCACAGAGCAAUUUAGAAAUGAACAAUGCCCGUCCAUCGCGUCAGACUGAGGUUUCGAAGAACUGAGUGAGAAUCCCAGAAUUUCACAGAAAGGAAACAAAGCCAAACACCUGUGUGUGAUCAGAAUUCCUUUAAGCUACUCUGUUUUUACCUUGAUUUAAGAGUUUAGAGUUUAAAUUGAAUUUGUGAGGCACAACACGCCAUUGGUGUUCUAUGACUUCUGUAUUUUAACUAGAUUGUGGACCCUGUGCAAUCUCAUGGGGAUGUUCAGCGGCCCCUUUAAGACUUGCACAUGUAGCAGGCUGGGCUUUGUCAACCAGCAGGUAUUAAUGAUCACCUGCACCAGGCCUGACCCACCGGGCCCAACCUGUAUCCUGGCCACACUCGGUGGGGGUGGGGGGGUUUAUUGCAUUAAAUGAUAGUGACAGCUGUAGAGUGACAGAAAAGGGGUUAGAGAGAGUGCAGCAAAGGGCCACAGUUGAACCCAUGUCUCCUGUAGUAAGGACUAAGCCUUUGUACGUGGGGCACCAGCUACCAAGGGCGCCCCUAGUUUGCAUUACUUUUAAUUCAAGUGUAGUUCCCCAAUUUUAGCAAUUUUGUGCACUUGGCAGGCACUGACCUGAAGCUGUAUAGGACACCAGGAAUGAUGGUGGUUUUCCAUUGAUAAUCUAAGCAGUUCUUUAUAUGGUUGUAUUUACUGUUUACUACAUUUCUUUUCAGUGUAUUGGUUGUUUAUUUAGAAGAUUUAUUUCUUUUUUUUAUUAGUAUUGUUUUGUUGACAAAUGUUUCCGUUUGUAUUCUUAGAUUUAUUAAUUAAGCACUAAUAUAUCCCUUGUGUUCCCCGCACACACUGCAAAAAAGGAAUUUUAAGAAAGUAAAAAAGCCUUGUAUCAAGGAAAUAAGUCUUAUUUUUUGUCCAAAAAGGAAAUUAAUCUUGUCAAGCAUGUUUCGCAUUGGAAAAAUAAUCUAAUUUUAAGAAAGUACGGCUAACUUUUUCUUAAUAAGAUAUUCCAGCUACUUUUGAGCUAGAAUGAAAUAUAAAAAUGUUUUACAAUAAAACCCAGUGGAGCAACAAGAUUAUUUGCCUCAUUUUAAGAGUAAGACCACUUGUACAACUUCUCAAUUUAAGAGUGCCAAGAAACAAAAAAAUUAAAGGUUGUUUAUUUUCAUUUGUUAUGUGUUCUCAGGCCAUCUGAACCUGGUAGAACCUGCUGCUUCAUAUCUUACAUAUUAAGAUGACAGCAGGCUGGCAAAUAACCAUGCUGGACAAAAACAGCAUGGCCCAUAAACAAAACAAAAUGACCAAAAAUGACCAAAAUGAAAUGACCCUUGACUCAACUGCAUUCUCAAUCACAAUGUAGCAAUGACUAUGGUUUAUACAGUAGGAUCCUGCAAGCAUCAGCAUAAAGACUGCUAUUAAUUAAUUGAUUGCUGAUCUGCUGUUUUAUCAUUCAGAUUAAAGUUAUUUUGAUACAUGAAAAGAUAGAAACAAUCAUGAAACAAACAACAGUCAAGAAACAGUUUGUCAUGAGAGGCCAACACAUUAAACAGUGUGCCUUUUACAGGUCAUCAGAUGAGGCUCUGUGUAGCCCAAGCACAUCUCCCAGAUAAUAUUUCGUAGGAACAUAUGUCACAUCCUUGUGAGUAUAACUGUAAUAUGGAGUGAAAUCUACCAGACUAUCAGCCGUUAUUAUUUCAUUUGCUUGUGCCAUGUUUGGAAUCUCUAUUGUAUAUGCCAUGUAAUUUCUAUUAUAACAAACAGUAUUAUGCUGCUGGAACUCAAAACAAUAUAAUGAUGAGUUAAUUACAUAGAUAUUGCUCACAUGUUCAAAUUCAGGUAAAUCACUGGCAUUAACGGCAGUCACAAACGUCUUCUCCCGUAUAUAUUUAUUACCAUUUAGAUUAAUCCAUUUAACAGACACUGCAUUGUUUAUGUCAUCAUUUCCAAGGAAAGCCCUCAUUUUUUCUUUUAAAUAUGACAUGCUGCAUAUUUCUGAUGUUGGUCCCAAUGCACACUCAUUAAAUAAAGAAUGACUUACAUUUUGACAACAUUCAUACAUUUGAUUAUGCCUUAUUAAAGACUUGCAAACAUUUCUAAGAUUUAAUUUUGAGGCCCACUGUUUGAAAAAACUAUGUUUUGAUUCCACCUGUUUUUAGCCUACAUUAGCUCGCUGCCAUUUACCGCUUUUGCCUCUUUUGCCUUGAACCCAAGAUGACCAGGUGAUACAUCAUGUGAUACCAAGGGUCGUAUAAAUCCGUGCCUUAUAAGGACAGAAACGACCUUCUAUUUAUUAAUGAUCACGUAGAUGUGACUUGAUUUUAACAGUUAUAAAGUAAUAUGAACUUAUUUAGAUAAAUAUACUUUGUAUAAAUGCAAAAUAAACGUAUUUAGGCUAAGCGUCCACCCCCGCUCCCUCUGUGCAGAUGGUACAAUCCACCGCUCUUUUUUUCCCUCCUGAAGUCCGUUGCAUUUUGAAAAUAAGUGCGUGCACACGUUGGUGGCGUUCCGCUGCUGUGAAUUCGUCAUUUUAAAGUGUCCUAUGUGGAUAUCAGUGGACACGAAAUAUGGAUAAACUGGACAAUGUUUCAAUUGCCCCACUCAAAGCUAUGCUACCAGGGUUUCUUUAUGUCGUGCUGAUUUAUAUUAGCUAACGUAGCUAACGGGCUGUGACAUAAAAACGAGCUAGUCCUUGGUCGGGCUUGGUGCAUGAUGAUCCCAAUAUAAUAAUAUGUGAAGUCUAAUUGGGCUUUGGGACUUUUGUUUUAUUUUCUUAUUAUUAAGGGCUGUAAAUGCUGAAAAUACAGUAACACCUGGUGGUUUGUAAAACAGCAGCUGUUAAGAUAUUGGUCUAAAGCACAUCACUCUGAUUUUGAUUGUGUUUGUCUCAUAUGUACAUCAGUCCGAGCCCCCUGAGUGCUAUCUAUUAAAUCUGUAACAUGUUUGUUUAAAAGUGCUAUAGCAAAUACAGCAUAUGUAUAAUGUAUUUAAGUAAAAUUAAAAAACAAUAGGCAUUCUCUAUCAAGCAUUAAAGUAAAAUGUGAAUGCAUAUUAUCUAGCAAGGCUCCAUACUCACUCUUACUGUAGUUGCAUGGCUUGAAUAUAGAUAUAUCUAAUUUAUAAAUGCUGUCAAAUUCACUCACUGCUCUUGAAGUAGAAUGGUAGUGUGUAGCAAGACUGAGCAAACUGUUCAAACAAUGCUAACUGUACAAGAGGUGUCAGGGUGUUGAGUUGGCAAAAUAUCCUCAUCUGCUAUGUUCAAAUCCAAUGUCCAUAUACAUAAUAUUUCAUUAUUUUAGACAUUUCUGCUUUGAGUCCCUUUCAACAGUCCAACUUGCUUUUUUCAAGUUUUUUUUUAAUCCACUAAAAGAUAAUGUUUUUCAAAAAUAUAGUUU
Molecule: long non-coding RNA, 4029 nt
Organism: Dicentrarchus labrax (European seabass)
Lineage: Eukaryota; Metazoa; Chordata; Actinopteri; Moronidae
Source: Ensembl